AAAAAAGGUAAGCUACUAAGAGCGAAUGGUGGAUGCCUUGACUGGUAAAGGCGAUGAAGGACGUACUAGACUGCGAUAAGCUACGGGGAGCUGUCAAGAAGCUUUGAUCCGUAGAUUUCCGAAUGGGGCAACCCAAUGUAUAGAGAUAUACAUUACCUAUAUAGGAGCGAACGAGGGGAAUUGAAACAUCUUAGUACCCUCAGGAAAAGAAAUCAAUAGAGAUUGCGUCAGUAGCGGCGAGCGAAAGCGCAAGAGGGCAAACCCAGUGCUUGCACUGGGGGUUGUAGGACUGCAAUGUGCAAGAGGUGAGUUUAGCAGAACAUUCUGGAAAGUAUAGCCAUAGAGGGUGAUAGUCCCGUAUGCGAAAAACAAACCUUAGCUAGCAGUAUCCUGAGUAGGGCGGGACACGAGAAAUCCUGUCUGAAGCUGGGUCGACCACGAUCCAACCCUAAAUACUAAUACCAGAUCGAUAGUGCACAAGUACCGUGAGGGAAAGGUGAAAAGAACUGAGGUGAUCAGAGUGAAAUAGAACCUGAAACCAUUUGCUUACAAUCAUUCAGAGCCCUAUGUAGCAAUACAGGGUGAUGGACUGCCUUUUGCAUAAUGAGCCUGCGAGUUGUGGUGUCUGGCAAGGUUAAGCAAACGCGAAGCCGUAGCGAAAGCGAGUCUGAAUAGGGCGCUUAGUCAGAUGCUGCAGACCCGAAACGAAGUGAUCUAUCCAUGAGCAAGUUGAAGCUAGUGUAAGAACUAGUGGAGGACUGAACCCAUAGGCGUUGAAAAGCCCCGGGAUGACUUGUGGAUAGGGGUGAAAGGCCAAUCAAACUUCGUGAUAGCUGGUUCUCUCCGAAAUAUAUUUAGGUAUAGCGUUGUGUCGUAAUAUAAGGGGGUAGAGCACUGAAUGGGCUAGGGCAUACACCAAUGUACCAAACCCUAUCAAACUCCGAAUACCUUAUAUGUAAUCACAGCAGUCAGGCGGCGAGUGAUAAAAUCCGUCGUCAAGAGGGAAACAACCCAGACUACCAGCUAAGGUCCCUAAAUCUUACUUAAGUGGAAAACGAUGUGAAGUUACUUAAACAACCAGGAGGUUGGCUUAGAAGCAGCCAUCCUUUAAAGAAAGCGUAAUAGCUCACUGGUCUAGUGAUUUUGCGCGGAAAAUAUAACGGGGCUAAAGUAAGUACCGAAGCUGUAGACUUGCGCACAACUUAGAUUAUUUAAGUUUAGAAUAUGAGAAACUAAGUUAUAUGUUUAGUUAUAUUUUUACUGAUUUUUAUAGAGUAAAGAUAGAAAUAAAACUUAGUAAAAUCAGUAAAAAUAUUCUUAGACUAAAGUUAAGUAGUUUAAGUUGUGUGCAAGUGGUAGGAGAGCGUUCUAUUUGCGUCGAAGGUAUACCGGUAAGGAGUGCUGGAGCGAAUAGAAGUGAGCAUGCAGGCAUGAGUAGCGAUAAUUAAUGUGAGAAUCAUUAACGCCGUAAACCCAAGGUUUCCUACGCGAUGCUCGUCAUCGUAGGGUUAGUCGGGUCCUAAGUCGAGUCCGAAAGGGGUAGACGAUGGCAAAUUGGUUAAUAUUCCAAUACCAACAUUAGUGUGCGAUGGAAGGACGCUUAGGGCUAAGGGGGCUAGCGGAUGGAAGUGCUAGUCUAAGGUCGUAGGAGGUUAUACAGGCAAAUCCGUAUAACAAUACUCCGAGAACUGAAAGGCUUUUUGAAGUCUUCGGAUGGAUAGAAGAACCCCUGAUGCCGUCGAGCCAAGAAAAGUUUCUAAGUUUAGCUAAUGUUGCCCGUACCGUAAACCGACACAGGUGGGUGGGAUGAGUAUUCUAAGGCGCGUGGAAGAACUCUCUUUAAGGAACUCUGCAAAAUAGCACCGUAUCUUCGGUAUAAGGUGUGGUUCGCUUCGUAUUAGGAUUUACUCCGAAAGCGAAGAAACUUACAACAAAGAGUCCCUCCCGACUGUUUACCAAAAACACAGCACUCUGCUAACUCGUAAGAGGAUGUAUAGGGUGUGACGCCUGCCCGGUGCUCGAAGGUUAAUUGAUGGGGUUAGCAUUAGCGAAGCUCUUGAUCGAAGCCCGAGUAAACGGCGGCCGUAACUAUAACGGUCCUAAGGUAGCGAAAUUCCUUGUCGGUUAAAUACCGACCUGCAUGAAUGGCGUAACGAGAUGGGAGCUGUCUCAAAGAGGGAUCCAGUGAAAUUGUAGUGG
Molecule: ribosomal RNA, 2199 nt
Filed under: Campylobacter coli
Lineage: Bacteria; Pseudomonadati; Campylobacterota; Epsilonproteobacteria; Campylobacterales; Campylobacteraceae
Description: partial 23S ribosomal RNA
Rfam family: Bacterial large subunit ribosomal RNA
Source: RNAcentral